GACAGAGGAAGACACAGAAUCCGAAGCAGGCUCCAGGCUCUGAGCCGUCAGCACGGAGCCCGCCGCGCGGCUCGAACUCGUGAACCGUGAGACCGUGCCCUGACCGGAAGCUGAAUGCUUAACCGGAAGCUGAAUGCUUAACCGGAAGUUGAAUGCUUAACCGGCUGAGCCCCCCAGGGCGCCCCCACCAGGCUUCCCUUCUUACAGUACAGAUGCUUUUCAGGCUGGGUCACGUGAGCCCCAGGCGCCCCACCCUCUUCCUGAAAGGACCUUUUCCUGCCAGCUCCUUCCAGGGUCUUGCCUGACGCAGCUUCGGGAGGCCCUGCUGGCCGUGCCACCCAGGGUCUCACCCCCAAGCAGGCACCGCACCAGCGGCCCGGCCCCAGAGCUUCCGGCAGGAGCUGAGUACCAGUUAUCGAAAUGCCACAGUCACGUCCCGGAGCCACCAGGAGCCCGUGUCUCAGGCUCACACACGGAGACCAUUAUCCCUCACGCGGGGGGCGAUUCUGGGCAGACUCAGUGGCCCAGGAAGGCCGAGGGGUACCCAACAGCAGACAGCUGCCGGUGUCGGAACAAGGGUCUAACUCGGGCUCGCGUUCCUGCAGUGGCCCGCAGGCCGAGGGCGGCCCCUGACCGGCCUUCAGGUGGUGGCCAGCUGACAGAGAAGCUAUGAGACUGGCCAGAGAGGACGACAGCACACCCCAAAACCCUGCUGUGGGGUUCCCGCCGCCCAUUCCAUGCCCCUAUUUGUGCCAAUGGUUUCGCCCUUCCCCAUCCAUCUUUGAAGCAAAACAAAGUGGACAGGA
Leopardus geoffroyi (Geoffroy's cat) is the source of this 806-nucleotide long non-coding RNA. RefSeq lists it as uncharacterized. The transcript has 2 exons. The record is from RefSeq and is a predicted model, not a curated record. NCBI's taxonomy places the organism in Eukaryota, Metazoa, Chordata, Mammalia, Carnivora, Felidae.